AUUGAACGCUGGCGGCAUGCCUUACACAUGCAAGUCGAACGGCAGCACGGGGGCGAACCCUCGGUGGCGAGUGGCGAACGGGUGAGUAAUACAUCGGAACGUGCCCAGUAGUGGGGAAUAGCCCGGCGAAAGCCGGAUUAAUACCGCAUACGACCUACGGGUGAAAGCGGGGGAUCGCAAGACCUCGCGCUAUCGGAGCGGCCGAUGUCAGAUUAGGUUGUUGGUGGGGUAAAAGCCACCUAAGACCGACCGAUCUGUAGCUGGUCUGAGAGGACGACCAGCCACACUGGGACU
Molecule: ribosomal RNA, 294 nt
Filed under: uncultured bacterium
Lineage: Bacteria
Description: partial 16S ribosomal RNA
Rfam family: Bacterial small subunit ribosomal RNA
Source: RNAcentral